AGGAUUUCUAUGUUACUCUGAACGUCGAGGCAGGUAUGUCGCGGGAAAUUUUGUUUAGCAUUAAUCUUAUAAAUCUCCUUUGUUCAUGUAAGUUUGAAAGGUGUGUUAGUGAUGCUGAUGACACUGAACAAAAUUAAUCUUUUAACUCUACCUUCUUUAUGUAAGUUUGAAAGGUGUGUUGUUAGUGAUGCUGAUGAAACUGAACUAUCAGAAUUCUAUUGUUUCUUCCUUGUAUUAUGUUAUGUUAAAACUCUGCAAUGUCGCUAAAAAAACUAUAUCAGGC
RNAcentral lists this long non-coding RNA (283 nucleotides) under Salvia miltiorrhiza (redroot sage). RNAcentral's name for it is "long non-coding RNA (SMIL_LNC005227)". Lineage: Eukaryota; Viridiplantae; Streptophyta; Magnoliopsida; Lamiales; Lamiaceae. The record is from RNAcentral.